UUGAAUGGGGAAAAUAGAGAAGCAACAACAAAAACAAAGUGAUAACAAACGGAAAAAAAAAACGUUACGAAGGAGAAAGAGAUGUAAAAAAGGACCCACCCAUGAAAGCUUAAGGAUAAAACUUCUCUCCCUACCCAUUCAAUAAAAGGCAUACAUCAAAUUUAAUAUCAUAUUAGUUUAGAUAUAAAUAAAAAUUAAUUUUACUAUCAUAUCAGUUUUUAAUAUAUUAAUUCAUUGGAUUUAUAUAUCACAUUAUACAUGUGUAACUACAGUUAAGUCAAUAACAACCAAUUUUCCAAUCUUUUCGUAGGAGAUACAUUUACAUGAUUAUUUAUGUAAAUUAUUUCAUAAUCAUGUUAUCUAGUUACAAAUUUGGAAAAUUUAAUCCUAGUAGUUGACCCGGCUAAUAACACCAAAUCAGUAAUAAUCAGACCAUUAUUACCACUGACCAUUUUCUUACCGGUUAUGUAUUUUUCUAAUAGAUAAAUACUUUAAUGCAAGUAUAUAAAAUAGGACAAAACUUAGGUUCACAGAACUUUUAAAUUCACCUUAAAGUGAAUCUUUAAAUUCACCAUACCUUUUAGGAUCAAUCAAAGUGAUACAUAGAUUAUUAAUUUUUAAAUAUUAAAUUAAAUAAAAAAUAGCUACAAAAAAUAAAAACGCUAAUUUUAACGACGCUAAUGCUUUCAGCUAAACCUUAAAUCUUAAAUUCUAAACCCUAUACCCUAAAUUCUAAACCCAAA
Molecule: long non-coding RNA, 743 nt
Filed under: Brassica napus (rape)
Lineage: Eukaryota; Viridiplantae; Streptophyta; Magnoliopsida; Brassicales; Brassicaceae
Description: long non-coding RNA (BNAP_LNC014809)
Source: RNAcentral